Molecule: ribosomal RNA, 671 nt
Filed under: Ceratobasidium sp.
Lineage: Eukaryota; Fungi; Basidiomycota; Agaricomycetes; Cantharellales; Ceratobasidiaceae
Description: eukaryotic LSU rRNA
Rfam family: 5.8S ribosomal RNA (bases 228-381)
Source: RNAcentral
GGAGACUAUAUCGGAUGACUGGAGAUCGGUUGUCGCUGGCUUCUUCAUUGAGGCAUGUGCACGCCUUUCUCUAUUCACCCAACACACACCUGUGAACUCGUGAGACGGAUAGUAGUCUACUCUGGAUUUAUUCAUUUAAUUCCGGGGGGCGACGAGGUCCGUCUGUCAAUACAUAAACUCCAAUUAAAUAAAUCUGAAUGUAAUCUGAUGUAACGCAUCUAUAAACUAAGUUUCAACAACGGAUCUCUUGGCUCUCGCAUCGAUGAAGAACGCAGCGAAAUGCGAUAAGUAAUGUGAAUUGCAGAAUUCAGUGAAUCAUCGAAUCUUUGAACGCACCUUGCGCUCCUUGGUAUUCCUCGGAGCAUGCCUGUUUGAGUAUCAUGAAAUUAUCAAAAUAAAUCUUUUGUUCAUUCGAUCGAUUUUAUUUUGGACUUGGGGGUCUGCAGAUUCACGUCUGCUCCCCUUGAAUGCAUUAGCUGGAUCACUGUAGACUCGGUUCCACUCGGCGUGAUAAGUAUCACUCGCUGAGGACACUCUGUAAAAAGAGUGGCCGGGACUAUUAGAGAACCGCUUCCAAUAGUCCAUUUGCUUGGACAAUAAACAUUUAUGAUCUGAUCUCAAAUCAGGUAGGACUACCCGCUGAACUUAAGCAUAUCAUUAAGCGGAGGAAA